RNAcentral lists this ribosomal RNA (1295 nucleotides) under uncultured anaerobic bacterium. Its description in RNAcentral is "bacterial SSU rRNA". It matches the Rfam family "Bacterial small subunit ribosomal RNA", at positions 34 to 1364 of the family's 1533-position model. The record is from RNAcentral.
UGCNGCGGUGUGCCUUAGGCAUGCAAGUCGAGCGGAUGAUCUUAGUUUCGCAAGAAACUAGGGGAGUCAGCGGCAGACGGGUGAGGAAUGGGUAGGAAUCUACCUCUUGGUGGGGAAUAAUUCCGCGAAAGCGGAACUAAUACCGCAUAACUUCGUAAGAAAAAAGGGCGUAACUGCCCGCCGAGAGAUGAGCCUGCUUGCUAUCAGCUAGUUGGUAAGGUAAUGGCUUACCAAGGCGAUGACGGCUAGGGGGUGUGAGAGCAUGGCCCCCCACAAGGUAACUGGGACACGGUACCUACACCUACGGGUGGCAGCAACCGGGAAUAUUGCGCAAUGGACGAAAGUCUGACGCAGCGACACCGCGUGCGGGAUGAAGGCCUUCGGGUCGUAAACCGCUGUGAUAAAGGAGCAAAAUUUGAGAGUACUUUAUUAGAAAGCACCUGCUAACUACGUGCCAGAAGCCUCGGUAAUACGUAGGGUGCAAGCAUUGUCCGGAAUCAUUGGGCGUAAAGAGUAUUGUAGGCGGUUGAUUAAGUGGUGGUUUAAAGCCUGGAGCUCAACUCCAGAGAUGGUCACCAUACUGGUCGACUAGAGGUAAUUUGGGGAUGCUGGAAUUCUCAGUGGAGGUGUGAAAUCCCGUUGAUAUUGAGAAGAACACCAAAGGCGAAGGCAGGCAUCUAGAAUUUACCAGACGCUGAUGAACGAAAGCUAGGGGAGCGAAAGGGAUUAGAGACCCCUGUAGUCCUAGCCGUAAACAAUGAACACUAGCUGGUUCGGAUUUCCGGACUGGCGUAAGCUAACGCGUUAAGUGUUCCGCCUGGGGAGUACGGUCGCAAGACUAAAACUCAAAGGAAUAGACGGGGAAACGCACAACCAGCGUGCCAUGUGGUUUAAUUGGAUACGAAACCUUGAACCUUACCUAGGUUUGACAUGUACCUGCAAAUCCUAUGAAAGUAGGACUUCUUCGAGAGUGGUACACAGCUGCUGCAUGGUUGUCGUCAGUUCGUGUCGUGAGGCGUCCGCUUAAGUGCGGUAACGAACGCAACCCCUGCCGCGUGUUGAAUAUUCACGCGGGACUGCCGUACUUGCAGUACGGAGGAAGGAGGGGAUGACGUCAAAUCAGCAUGGCGCUUACACCUAGGGCUACACACAUGGCGUAAUGGGUGGGACAACGGGUCGCAAUGGAGUAAUCCGGAGCUAAUCCUUAUAAACCCAUCCUCAGUUCGGAUUGUGGGCUGCAAUUCGCCCACAUGAAGGGGAGUUGGUAGUAAUCGCAGGUCAGCUAUACUGCGGGA